Non-coding RNA from Zootermopsis nevadensis, 74 nucleotides. Lineage: Eukaryota; Metazoa; Arthropoda; Insecta; Blattodea; Termopsidae. The record is from Rfam.
GCCACGGUGGUCUAGCGGUUAGAACGCUGGCCUUGUAAUCCUGAGGGUCUCGGGUCCGAUUCCCGGCGGUGCCC